RNAcentral lists this ribosomal RNA (166 nucleotides) under uncultured bacterium. Its description in RNAcentral is "partial 16S rRNA". It matches the Rfam family "Bacterial small subunit ribosomal RNA", at positions 355 to 511 of the family's 1533-position model. The record is from RNAcentral.
UAGGGAAUCUUCGGCAAUGGGGGCAACCCUGACCGAGCAACGCCGCGUGAGUGAAGAAGGUUUUCGGAUCGUAAAGCUACUGUUGUAAGAGAAGAACGUGUGUGAGAGUGGAAAGUUCACACAGUGACGGUAACUUACCAGAAAGGGACGGCUAACUACGUGCCAG